RNAcentral lists this ribosomal RNA (718 nucleotides) under uncultured bacterium. RNAcentral's name for it is "bacterial SSU rRNA". It matches the Rfam family "Bacterial small subunit ribosomal RNA", at positions 44 to 777 of the family's 1533-position model. The record is from RNAcentral.
GUCGAACGAAGCAUUUAAGACAGAUUUCUUCGGGAUGAAGUUUUUUAUCACUUAAAGGCGGACGGGUGAGUAACGCGUGGGUAACCUGCCUCACACAGGGGGAUAGCAGUUGGAAACGACUGGUAAUACCGCAUAAGCGCACAGCUUCGCAUGAAGCGGUGUGAAAAACUCCGGUGGUGUGAGAUGGACCCGCGUCUGAUUAGGUAGUUGGUGAGGUAACGGCCCACCAAGCCGACGAUCAGUAGCCGACCUGAGAGGGUGACCGGCCACAUUGGGACUGAGACACGGCCCAGACUCCUACGGGAGGCAGCAGUGGGGAAUAUUGCACAAUGGAGGAAACUCUGAUGCAGCGACGCCGCGUGAGUGAAGAAGUAUUUCGGUAUGUAAAGCUCUAUCAGCAGGGAAGACAGUGACGGUACCUGACUAAGAAGCUCCGGCUAAAUACGUGCCAGCAGCCGCGGUAAUACGUAUGGAGCAAGCGUUAUCCGGAUUUACUGGGUGUAAAGGGAGUGUAGGUGGCAUCACAAGUCAGAAGUGAAAGCCCGGGGCUCAACCCCGGGACUGCUUUUGAAACUGUGGAACUGGAGUGCAGGAGAGGUAAGUGGAAUUCCUAGUGUAGCGGUGAAAUGCGUAGAUAUUAGGAGGAACACCAGUGGCGAAGGCGGCUUACUGGACUGUAACUGACACUGAGGCUCGAAAGCGUGGGGAGCAAACAGGA